UGUCCGUCAUGCAGAAAGGGUCCCCAUUCCUACUCCUACUUUAUCUGCAAGGCGUGAGAAGGUUAGUGUUUAGUUCUGAUGAAUUGCUUAAUAUGAAAAUGUGAAAAUCAUGUGUUGUGUGAAUGCAUCAGCCAUGAUUUUCAGUAUAGAUUGCAUUACUUUAUUUAAAAUUUUUUUGUUUGUCUAAGAAACCACAUAUUUUAGAACCUGGAACAAAAUUUGUGAAAUGUUCCAUGAGAACAUUAGACAAUUCAUAAUCUUUCUUUGAAUACAAUAUGAAAAAUGAUCUGACAAAGAAGCAAAGAAAUAGACCUACUACCUUGGUUAAAUGUUGAAGUUAGGCCUAAAUUAAUUUGAAGGUUAUGUUGCAUUUAUUUUUGGCAAGGAUGUAUGAACAAUUUUUUAUUUUAUUUUUAUGCAGAC
This 423-nucleotide long non-coding RNA is filed under the name Trifolium pratense (red clover). RNAcentral describes it as "long non-coding RNA (TPRA_LNC003297)". The record is from RNAcentral. Lineage: Eukaryota; Viridiplantae; Streptophyta; Magnoliopsida; Fabales; Fabaceae.